UACGUAGGGGGCAAGCGUUGUCCGGAUUUACUGGGCGUAAAGGGCUCGUAGGCGGCCAACUAAGUCAGACGUGAAAUCCCUCGGCUUAACCGGGGAACUGCGUCUGAUACUGGAUGGCUUGAGAUUGGGAGAGGGAUGCGGAAUUCCAGGUGUAGCGGUGAAAUGCGUAGAUAUCUGGAGGAACACCGGUGGCGAAGGCGGCAUCCUGGACCAACACUGACGCUGAGGAGCGAAAGCCAGGGGAGCAAACGGG
RNAcentral lists this ribosomal RNA (253 nucleotides) under uncultured bacterium. Its description in RNAcentral is "partial 16S ribosomal RNA". It matches the Rfam family "Bacterial small subunit ribosomal RNA", at positions 524 to 776 of the family's 1533-position model. The record is from RNAcentral.